GGGACUGUGGCUCAGUUGGUAGAGCGUUUGCCUAACAUGCAGAAAACCCUGGAUUUGAUCCCUAGCCCUG
Molecule: transfer RNA, 70 nt
Filed under: Cricetulus griseus (Chinese hamster)
Lineage: Eukaryota; Metazoa; Chordata; Mammalia; Rodentia; Cricetidae
Rfam family: tRNA
About the family: Transfer RNA (tRNA) molecules are approximately 80 nucleotides in length. Their secondary structure includes four short double-helical elements and three loops (D, anti-codon, and T loops).
Source: Rfam by way of RNAcentral